Molecule: long non-coding RNA, 210 nt
Filed under: Lathyrus oleraceus (garden pea)
Lineage: Eukaryota; Viridiplantae; Streptophyta; Magnoliopsida; Fabales; Fabaceae
Description: Pisum sativum (pea) long non-coding RNA (PSAT_LNC022407)
Source: RNAcentral
GGUUUGCUUAAGGAUGAACACCGAAGGGUGUUCAUCGUUUACCUUUAAAAAUUUCACUGGUUUUGGAGACUUGUGUGUUUCAAAGAGAGAGAGAAGAGAGUUUUUAGGGGAAGAGAUACGAAUGGUCGUCUGAUUGGGAGAUGAGAGAAACUUUUAUUUAUUUAGUCCAAAUAAAUGCAUUGAAUAGAUUUAAAGUUUUUCUUUUUUUUU